UUCAAGUCAUCCCAUCACCCGCGUAUCUUCUCCAUCUUCAUCUCCCCUGCUUCCAAAUCUCCCAGAUCUAUUCUCAGCCACAUCCAGCCAACGACUGCACUUCCAAACUCCCAGCUGGUGAGCAUCUCUUCCUUAUCCAGAUCCCAUGCUCAUCCUCUUCUUCGGAUCAAGCCAGUGAACCCGAAUCCCAUGCUCUCUGCGUUCCUUCCAACGUCUUCCCAUCUAGCCAAUGGCUGCAUUCCAACCCGGAUAAGCUCGGAUUAGCUUCAUCUUCAGCAAUAUCUCUCAUGGAUAAGGUCCAAGUUUUUUCUCCUCAUUUCCUCUGGCGACUCCCCUGUUUCACGCAUCUUCAUCUCAGCCAAAUCCUCAGCAUCCCAGAUCUCCCAGCAUCCCGCUUCUUUUGGAUCAUCUCCCAUCCACGGACGUGGUCCAUCUUUAUCCAAGCAAACCUCAGGAUCUCAUUCCUCCCAACGGCUUUCUUCUCAUCUUCCUCUCUCCCACUGCAUCCAGCUCACGGUUCGUCACUUCUUCCCAACCAUUUUCCAUCAUCUGCGGAGGAGAUUAAGCCUUCAUAGAAUCCCCUAUUUCAAGAUUUCAUCCCGUACAAUGCAUCCAUGCCAUCCUCUUCUUCCAUUCGCUUCCAGCAAAUCUUCACACCUCAACCUCAUAAUCAGUCCGGCUUGGCUUUGUUCCUCCCAGAUUCUAAAAUCACCUCCCACGAUUCUCUACUCCGGAUUAACUCCAUCAUCCAAGGGCAGAAUAGAGUCAUCCAAGAUCAUCCAGUCGUUCCUAGAUUUCCUCCCAAGCCAUCAGCCGAAUCCAACCUUCCAUUAUCCACGGAACAGAGCAGCUGCAUCUCAUCCGAAUUAGCUCGCAUCCAGCCAUUUCAUCCCCCUGCGUCCAGCUCUCAUCCAUGAGUUCCUCCCAGCCAUGAACAUCAUCCCUGUUUUCAGCCGAAGGAUUCCCAGCUUUAUCCGCAAUCUCGCUUGAUCCUUCCGAGCUUCACGGACCAACAAACUCGGCAACCAUCUCCUCUUCAUCACGGAUCAACUACUUCCAGAUUCUUCACGUCCGCGGAUCACAGCCAGCAGCCAUCCGCGAUUCAAGGCUUCUUCUGCAUCAUCUCUCAGCAUGAUUCACCGAAUCCAGUUCCUCCCAGAGCCUCCGAGAUCCAGCUCCAACUUCUCCCGCAUCCGAAUCUCCCGCGGCCAACAAAUCUCAGCUUCAUCCAGCUUCGAUCCAUCCUUAUCCCCAUGUGAAAUAGGGAAGAGGAGCAAGGGGGAGUUGCAGCCUAUAAAAGGCCCAGCAUGAACCGAGAAGGGCAUU
RNAcentral lists this long non-coding RNA (1326 nucleotides) under Phoenix dactylifera (date palm). Its description in RNAcentral is "long non-coding RNA (PDAC_LNC013578)". Lineage: Eukaryota; Viridiplantae; Streptophyta; Magnoliopsida; Arecales; Arecaceae. The record is from RNAcentral.